Molecule: ribosomal RNA, 680 nt
Filed under: Lichtheimia hyalospora
Lineage: Eukaryota; Fungi; Mucoromycota; Mucoromycetes; Mucorales; Lichtheimiaceae
Description: eukaryotic LSU rRNA
Rfam family: Eukaryotic large subunit ribosomal RNA
Source: RNAcentral
AAAAUAACCAUGAUUCCCCUAGUAACGGCGAGUGAAGAGGGAAAAGCUCAAAGUUGGAACCUGGCUGUCCUAGAUAGUCCGGAUUGUAAACUAAAGAGCGUGAAUCCAGGCAAGCCGGUUGACAAAGUCCUUUGGAAUGAGGCGCCACUGAGGGUGAGAGCCCCGUAAGUCGACUGAGCAUUUGUCUUUUGUGUUUCGCGUUCAAAGAGUCAGGUUGUUUGGGAAUGCAGCCUAAAGCUGGUGGUAAAUCCCACCUAAAGCUAAAUACAGGCGAGAGACCGAUAGCGAACAAGUACCGUGAGGGAAAGAUGAAAAGUACUUUGAAAAGAGAGUUAAACAGUAUGUGAAAUUGCCAAGAGGGAAGCAUUUGGAGUUAGACUGACUUGAAGUCAAUCAACUUGGUCUUUGGACUGGGUGUACUUGGCUUUUAUGUCUGCCAACAGCAGUUAGUUCUGGUGGAAAAAACUAGAGGGAAGGUAGUCCUUCGGGAUGUUUAUAGACCUUUAGAAAAUACACUGGAAUUGACUGAGGAAUGCAGUAGAUGCUAUUAGGCUUCGUCUUGUGGGUGUUGGGUAAAGGUACUAGGUGUUUUCAGCUUGCUGAUGCGCUUGGUGCCCGAGUCCAUCCACUCACAAGUACUGUAAUCUACUUUGGUUGUUGGCUUAAUGACUCUAAAUGGC